AAGGAGCAUCAACUGGCUCAGGUCGACCCCCUUUAGGGGUGUCUGGGUCGGUGGCCGCCGUUGACGGCGCACGUCCGUCAGGUGGCUGCUCAUAGAUGUGGAGCACUGGCUAUUCAGCUCACCACUGGUGUGAGCCGGCAAGUACCGUCCCGGGUGACCGGGGAGUGGGAACGGCGGUUUCGGGCGGGUGGUGGGCUGGACACGCUGUUGGGUCCUGAGGGAACGGGCGUUAAGCCCGGUGGCCUCGGACUGCGGGACCAGGACCGCAUCCCUUUGCGGGGGUGGGGGUCUGGGUGGGCCCGGUUGUUUUUUGAGAACUGCACAGUGGACGCGAGCAUCUCUGGUGAGGGGUUGUGGCUUCGGGUCAUGUAUCUCUCAUCUGCGAUUUGUUUUGAUCGUUUCGU
This 404-nucleotide unclassified non-coding RNA is filed under the name Actinomadura formosensis. Its description in RNAcentral is "partial 16S-23S ribosomal RNA intergenic spacer region". Lineage: Bacteria; Bacillati; Actinomycetota; Actinomycetes; Streptosporangiales; Thermomonosporaceae. The record is from RNAcentral.